AUGGGAGCACCAAGAGGACCUCGCCGUCUUCGCCUUCGCAACCGUCGCCACCGUUGCCCACUCCGCUCCCCACGGGCUCGCUCUAGCUUUAUAGCCUUCGCCACCUUUGUGCUCAACGUGCCGACUGUGCCCCCACCCCCGCCCCCACCUCCGCAGGACCCACCAAGCUACCACCCUGACUGCGAGGCUUUGGUCAACGACCAGAUCCGGCUGCAGCUCUACGCUUCCCACAUCUACCUGUCCAUGGCCUUCUACUUCAGCCGUGUCGAUGUGGCCCUGAGUCGUUUCUCAGGUUUGUUUUUGCGCCGUUCUCAGCAGUGGAGAGAAGGAGCUGAGAACCUCAUGUGGAUGCAGAACAAGCGAGGUGGGCGUGUCAUUCUUAACAAGAUCAAGGCGCCCAACAGCGAGGAAUGGCACAGCAGCUUCCACACUGUGCGAUGUGCCUUACAACUGGAGAACACUCUCCACCAGAGCCUCCAAGAAUUGCACAGCCUUGCAGCUGACAAGAAUGACUCUGAACUGUGUGCUUUCGUGCUAUGCCACUACCUAAACCCUCAGAUUCCUGUCCUCAAGGAGUUAGGCGAGUACAUGACCCAACUUCGCAAGAUGGGGGACCAGGGGGUGGGCUUGGUGAACUACCUCCUUAGCAAGCUGAGCUUGAAGAGUGGCAACAAAAAGAACUGA
RNA transcript from Octodon degus (degu), 684 nucleotides. It is a transcript of the gene named ferritin heavy chain, with no coding region annotated. The record is from RefSeq and is a predicted model, not a curated record. Lineage: Eukaryota; Metazoa; Chordata; Mammalia; Rodentia; Octodontidae. The transcript has a single exon.